UGGGGAAUAUUGGACAAUGGGCGCAAGCCUGAUCCAGCCAUGCCGCGUGAGUGAUGAAGGCCCUAGGGUUGUAAAGCUCUUUCGCACGCGACGAUAAUGACGGUAGCGUGAGAAGAAGCCCCGGCUAACUUCGUGCCAGCAGCCGCGGUAAUACGAAGGGGGCUAGCGUUGUUCGGAAUCACUGGGCGUAAAGGGCGCGUAGGCGGCCGAUCAAGUCGGGGGUGAAAGCCUGUGGCUCAACCACAGAAUGGCCUUCGAUACUGGUUGGCUCGAGACCGGAAGAGGUGAGUGGAACUGCGAGUGUAGAGGUGAAAUUCGUAGAUAUUCGCAAGAACACCAGUGGCGAAGGCGGCUCACUGGUCCGGUUCUGACGCUGAGGCGCGAAAGCGUGGGGAGCAAACAG
RNAcentral lists this ribosomal RNA (403 nucleotides) under uncultured bacterium. Its description in RNAcentral is "bacterial SSU rRNA". It matches the Rfam family "Bacterial small subunit ribosomal RNA", at positions 355 to 775 of the family's 1533-position model. The record is from RNAcentral.